ACUGAAUUCUCGUGGGUCUGCAGUGCACUGUAACCGUUGCAGAGGGCAAUUGUUCAAAUUGAAAUUGAAAUUUUGUAGCACCAUGAGAUUCAGCUC
This 96-nucleotide microRNA precursor is filed under the name Drosophila mojavensis. RNAcentral describes it as "Dmo-Mir-29-P2h_pre stem-loop". The record is from RNAcentral. Lineage: Eukaryota; Metazoa; Arthropoda; Insecta; Diptera; Drosophilidae.